Molecule: long non-coding RNA, 548 nt
Organism: Alnus glutinosa
Lineage: Eukaryota; Viridiplantae; Streptophyta; Magnoliopsida; Fagales; Betulaceae
Exons: 3
Source: RefSeq, a predicted model, not a curated record
AGACCGAGAGAGAGGGAGAGAAACAGAAAGCUUGAGAGAAGAGCCGUGCGGUGGGCUAGCCACCGUUUGGGGCGGACGACGGCGCCGGGUCGGGUGGGUCGCGGCCCAACGCCAGUGAGGCAAAAAUCUUGGAGUUCUGGCAUUUUCUCGGUAGCCAAGCAGUAGAAAAUCCAUUUUUUUUUUGGCUAUUGAAGUCCGAUUUGAGCACCUAAACGUUGAAGCAGAAGUUCAUGUAGGAGGCAGAGCCUUGCCUUCCUUCUUUAACUUCAUUAUAAACAUCCUAGAGAUGAAUGAAAUGUAAUGGCAAGGGAAAGAUAUAUGCUCUGCCUAUUAAGGUCAAUGUUUUGUAUUCAUUUAUAUAAUCAUCAUAGGUAAAGUAUACAGUCUCAGAAUAUUUGUCUUCCGUAAUUUUCUUGAGUUCUUUGGCAGCAUCUGGUAAAUCGAAGCUCAUAGAUGGAGAGACAUUUUUAUAACUGCGUGGAGAAUUUGUCUGUUGAUAACUGAACUUAAUUAGUUGCUCAUUCUUUACAAGGUCUUUUGCUGUAUUA